AAAUUUGACCGGGCUGUAAACCAAAUAAAUAUUUUAAAACAGUCCAUAUAGCAGUCCAUUUACAUUGGCCCACCAACCAGUAGACCCAAAAUCAAUUGGCCUAAACCUUAUGCCCGGUUACAACUCAGCAGACCCAAACCCGUUACAUUACUGACCCAUUUCUAAAAUCUUACUCUUAAGGCUCAUUACAACAGACCUAAAUGGACCCAAGACUAAAGUGGCCCAACUGGCCCAAACCGUUACACCGAGGCAUGAAACCCUAGGGUUUCUGCCUCUCUUUCUCCUCGCGCCGCAAGUAGAAGAUUCCAGAAGCCAUCCCAAUAGACGCGUCGUUCCAGCUACUCUCCAGCAAGGCCACAAUCCUAAGGCUCUUAGUCACGCCGAGAUCACCGCCACCAGUGGACCAUCGUUAAGCCUUCGUCACCACCGAAAUCUUUGCAAGUCACCUGCAAGAAAAGGAAACACAGCAGAUACGAACAAAAAAAAAAAGGAAACUAAAAUAAAAGGAUUUCAGAAGAUCACAAUCAAAGAUAUGGUAGAUACAGCAGACAAGAAAUGGAAAGAAAUCUUCGAUUUCUUUCCCAGUUUAUGUAAUAACAGUAGUGGCUAUAAAAGUCCGAAUUAAAACGGUGUAAGGGGACCCUUCUUUUUUGGGGAAGAAAGAAAUAUACUCACAGACAUUCAUUCAAAAAAAAUACCAACAGUCUCUCAAAAGGUGAUUUAAUCGCAUAUCUCGUGCUUUAUUUUGAACAUAUAUGAAUUGUUUUAUCAUAUACAAGUAAGGAUCUAAGGGAAAAGAGGUCACCUGAGGAAGGGCAAAGGUUUUUAAGCCUUCAGACCACCGUGUACGAUGGCGCGUGAAGCGCGUGUGCAAGCACUGCACCGUGGCCGGAGGCCAGGAUUGGGACCUCUCUCCUCCCUUCUGCAGAGCAUUUCAAGAUUUUUUUUAGGGCUGGUGUUAAAAUGAUUUUUUAAGCUGCGAAAUUGGCUUAUAU
Molecule: long non-coding RNA, 995 nt
Filed under: Gossypium barbadense (sea-island cotton)
Lineage: Eukaryota; Viridiplantae; Streptophyta; Magnoliopsida; Malvales; Malvaceae
Description: long non-coding RNA (GBAR_LNC011662)
Source: RNAcentral